UACGUAGGUGGCAAGCGUUGUCCGGAUUUAUUGGGUUUAAAGGGUGCGUAGGCGGCCCUAUAAGUCAGUGGUGAAAUACAUCCGCUUAACGGUUGAGGUGCCAUUGAUACUGUAGGGCUUGAGUACAGACGAGGUAGGCGGAAUUGACGGUGUAGCGGUGAAAUGCAUAGAUAUCGUCAAGAACACCGAUAGCGAAGGCAGCUUACUAGACUGUAACUGACGCUGAGGCACGAAAGUGUGGGGAUCAAACAGG
RNAcentral lists this ribosomal RNA (253 nucleotides) under uncultured bacterium. RNAcentral's name for it is "partial 16S ribosomal RNA". It matches the Rfam family "Bacterial small subunit ribosomal RNA", at positions 524 to 776 of the family's 1533-position model. The record is from RNAcentral.